UCAGGCCUAACACAUGCAAGUCGAACGCAGUAGCAAUACUGAGUGGCAAACGGGUGAGUAUAAUGUGGGAAUCUGCCUUUUGGUUUGGAAUAACACGAGGAAACUUGUGCUAAUACCAAAUAAGCCCUUACGGGGAAAGUUUUAACGCCGAAAGAUGAGCCUGCAUUUGAUUAGCUAGUUGGUAAGGUAAAAGCUUACCAAGGCAACGAUCAAUAGCUGUUCUUAGAGGAAGACCAGCCACAUUGGGACUGAGACACGGCCCAGACUCCUACGGGAGGCAGCAGUGGGGAAUCUUGCACAAUGGGGGAAACCCUGAUGCAGCGAUGCCGCGUGAGUGAAGAAGGCCUUUGGGUUGUAAAACUCUUUCGUCGGGGAAGAAAAUGACUGUACCCGAAUAAGAAGGUCCGGCUAACUUCGUGCCAGCAGCCGCGGUAAUACGAAGGGACCUAGCGUAGUUCGGAAUUACUGGGCUUAAAGAGCUCGUAGGUGGUUAAAAAAGUUGAUGGUGAAAUCCCAAGGCUUAACCUUGGAACUGCCAUCAAAACUUUUUAGCUAGAGUGUGAUAGAGGUAAGUGGAAUUUCUAGUGUAGAGGUGAAAUUCGUAGAUAUUAGAAAGAACACCAAAUGCGAAGGCAACUUACUGGAUCACUACUGACACUGAGGAGCGAAAGCAUGGGUAGCGAAGAGGAUUAGAUACCCU
This 700-nucleotide ribosomal RNA is filed under the name uncultured bacterium. Its description in RNAcentral is "bacterial SSU rRNA". It matches the Rfam family "Bacterial small subunit ribosomal RNA", at positions 42 to 788 of the family's 1533-position model. The record is from RNAcentral.